AGAGUGAACGCUGGCGGUAGGCCUAACACAUGCAAGUCGAACGGCAGCACGGUAAGAGCUUGCUCUUAUGGGUGGCGAGUGGCGGACGGGUGAGGAAUACAUCGGAAUCUACCUUUUGGUGGGGGAUAACGUAGGGAAACUUACGCUAAUACCGCAUACGCCCUUCGGGGGAAAGCCGGGACCAGCAAUGGCCUGGUGCUGAUAGAUGAGCCGAUGUCGGAUUAGCUAGUUGGUGAGGUAAUGGCUCACCAAGGCGACGAUCCGUAGCUAGGUCUGAGAGGAUGAUCAGCCACACUGGAACUGAGACACGUCCAGACU
This 318-nucleotide ribosomal RNA is filed under the name uncultured soil bacterium. RNAcentral's name for it is "bacterial SSU rRNA". It matches the Rfam family "Bacterial small subunit ribosomal RNA", at positions 26 to 337 of the family's 1533-position model. The record is from RNAcentral.